ACCUGCCGCGUACCCUGCCGCUCCCAAUCAAACUCCCUCCCUACCCCCGCCUCCAUGCCCUCGUUCCAAGGCCCUCCCCCACCAUUCUCGGCAACCGGCGGUGCCCUGUAUCCCCGCAUCGUGUGGAUCUCGUCUGCAUCCGGCCCCUCCCCUUCAGCAAGUGCAUCCGGCGGUGACCCACCUUCCCCUGCAUCGCGUGGAUCCUGCCGGCGCGCCACCGCCCCUCCACCGCGCGGAUCUCGCCACCGGCGCCCCGCCCCCAUGGUCGAGCGCCACUGCGUAGGCCCUCGUGCUAGCUGAACUGUGCCUCUCCUCUCUCUGAGCUUCACCGGCCGGCGCCGCCCAACCACGCCCCUGCAACCGCGCGUCCAGCCCGACGUAGCCCCGUGAGUCCACCACUGUGACGCCUUUGCUCCCGCUCUCUCUCGGCCGUCCUUUUCUCCAGGAGGGAAGGCUGACGCCACGGUUGAUGGAUGAGCUAAAUGAGCUACAUGGAAGAUUGCUUUAGUGCGACAUGAAGUUUGGAAUCCCAGUUGUGUGGCCGUGGACACCUAGGAGCGCCGCCGUGGACUCUGGAACCAAUGUUCCGGGUGACCACGUCUUUGGCGAGUCUAUCAUGCCCAGUACUUAAAAGAACCAGCUCCGCCCAGCGCACCUCCCCUGUUGGUUGAGCUCCUGUCUGAUGAGUAGCACUGAUCUUAAUUCAGAGGCUAGCUACUACUGAUAAAGAUCUUGACCAUGACCAUCCAAUGGAGUCUAAUCGCCUUCAUCGGGAUGCACCUGGUGUGUGCUAAUAUUUUUGUCCUUUGCUAUGCACAAAAGCUUGUGGCCGGGAGAGCUGUAGUAUACGGGCGGGCAGUCGAGUCCUUAGCAAAAGGCAGUGCCGUGAUGCGAAGCAGCCAACAUAAUCAAAGAAUAGGAAGUUUGCGCCUCCUGGACCCCGCCGCCGCGCGCCUCCUAGAUCCCCGCCGCAGCGCGCCUCCUAGACCCGCCGACGCGCGCCUCACAAGCUAGAGUUAAUUACAAUUCAUGGAAGUUAGUUUGCGUUUGCGCAAUACUCGAGCAGCUACAGGAUGCCGGCGAUAUUCUCUCAGGAGCAUUGCCAGGACGAAUGCAGUAUUGCUGAAGUUCAUUUCUUCUAAUCCUUGUAGUUCACUUCCCCUAAUUCAUGAAGUUUACAUCUCUUGCUACUUGUUAUUUAGUUCAUCCAUUUGGUUUAGAUAUGCACUUGUUUAUUUAGUUCCUUGUGAAAGUCAAUUUUUUGUCGAAGUUCAGUUUUAUUGGUGGGAGAGUUCACUUUAUUUUUUAGAAGUUCAAUUGUUAUAGUGCAGAUAUUCAUUUCUUCCAGCAAAAAAGGUUCUAAUUCACCCACGAGGGAAAAAGUUCGCAUUUUGUUGUCACAAAGUUCACUAUUUUCAAAUCUGGAAGUUCGCAUCUGUUGCUAAUUUUUAUUGUACUUCUAUAUGGUGUGUGGUACUAACUAAAUUACCCUCAGUUCAUGUCACUUGCGGUACUUCUACAUGGUGUGUGCUCCCACACAGCGCCACCUCGCCCUUCAAUGCAGUCCACGGUGUCAAUGAUGAUCGGCAGUCCACAUUGCAUCAAACCAAGAAGUCAAUCUGAAAAGAGGUAAUUUUUUUCUAAAUUAUUAGAGAAUGCACUUUGUUUGUCCCCAGAAGCUCGCAUCUUCUAUCUAGGAAAGUUCAGUGUGUAUACACCUAGUUGUGAAGUUCACUUUAUAUUUUUUAGUUGACCUGAGCUUGUACGUGUAUGGUUAUGAACUUGCGUAUUUUUUAGUUCUUUGUUUUUUAUGGAAAAAAUGAAUCAAGCAUGGGCAAAACACGGUACAAGUAUGUGCUGAUGCGUGUCUGGCUAUAAAAAGUAGAAGUUCCUUUGGUUUACAAAGAAAGUUUAUGUUUCAUUUUGUACAUGCUCACUACUGUCGGUUCAUCUAGAAAAAAAUAGCUUUUCCAUGUGUACACAUAAAAUCAAUUCAUGUGUGCUUUAUUUGUUGUUUGCUAUGGAGAAGUUCACUAAUUUGUUUUUGGAAAGUUCACUCUUAUGCGGUUAGCUAUAUCUAUGGGUAAGUGUCGAUGGUACAGACGUAGAAAACUAGAAGUUCGGAUUUAAUUGUGGAGCAGUGCAGUUCACAUGGGCGUUGGCGAACAUCCGUCGGCGCACCUACCUCCGCAUCGGCGUUGGUGAACAUCAGUGCACACCAAGUUCCUCGUCAGGCUGAGAUGUUUUUGCAACUGACUGGCUAUGAAGUUCACAUCUCUUUUUAGGUCAUGGCCAUGCAGGGAGUUAGCUUCAUCUCUAGAAGAAGUUCAUUGUGGGCUGAAAAGAGCACUGGCAUGGACUCCUGCAAGCACAGCUCUAGACUUCCGCGAGUGAUAGUGUGGUCUUCACGAGCAUUGUCGUUGCCGCUGCUGCUUCAAGCGAGAUGGUGUCUGUUUCAUGUGUGAUGGUGAUAGUUCGGAGUAAGAAAAGUGAUCGUUUUCCUGUGAGCUCGCCGCUGCUGCAAGCUCGACCAAGUGCGAUUUGCCCAUGCCAUCAGCACUUAGUAGUUCACCCUUUACAGUGGAGCUGUACCUUGUGGAAGCACGCAUUGGCUGUGAAGUUCAGGGGGGCAGAUUUGUGAAGUCCAGAGACCAAUAGCUAUGUAGUUUAGAGAGCUCAAUUUGUUAUUUUGGUUGAGACAUUGGAUUAGCGUUGUGAACAUGAUUUGUGCUAAUGUUAUUUUGUUUCUCUUGUCCUGCUUGUGGUUUGGCGACUUUGAGGUUGAAUGGAAGUGGACAAUUGUAUAAAAUGUAUAAACUG
This is a non-coding RNA of Lolium perenne, 2820 nucleotides long. The record is from RefSeq and is a predicted model, not a curated record. NCBI's taxonomy places the organism in Eukaryota, Viridiplantae, Streptophyta, Magnoliopsida, Poales, Poaceae.